Dermacentor albipictus is the source of this 332-nucleotide long non-coding RNA. RefSeq lists it as uncharacterized. The record is from RefSeq and is a predicted model, not a curated record. Lineage: Eukaryota; Metazoa; Arthropoda; Arachnida; Ixodida; Ixodidae.
GUCCAAAGCUGCUACGCUGCUGCCCCUAGAAGCUUUCGAGGAGAACAUCGACGUCAUUUGCACCAAUGGUUCGAAGCAGUACGCAGAUUUCCAGAAAUCCGUUCGCUGCUUGAACUCUGUUGGGACGAAAAUCAAUGGCUGCUUGAAGGCUCUCCGUGAGAGCAUGCGGACGUCAGUUGCCAUGGCACCUCCCAAGGAAAUCGUCCCAUACGUAUGCUGCCCGUACGGUGACUUGCUCGACUGCCUCGAUCCGGUACUGGAGCACUGCGAAAACGACGGUGGCAAGGAGUUCAUCACCGGAACUUUGGAGCAGGUGUUCGGGGAUUCGCUCA